This 256-nucleotide ribosomal RNA is filed under the name Orbilia pilifera. RNAcentral describes it as "partial 18S ribosomal RNA". The record is from RNAcentral. Lineage: Eukaryota; Fungi; Ascomycota; Orbiliomycetes; Orbiliales; Orbiliaceae.
CCUUUGUGACCCAGCAAUGGGUACCUGCCGCGACAGAAAACAAGAAUGCAAGGUAUUAAACCGCAAGUCAGCUUUGGCUGGCCACACUUUCGAAUUGCGGGGACACCCUAAAGCCUGUUCCUACCAAACCAGCUGGGAAAUCAGUUGGCGGCUUGUGCUAACCACACAARGUAAGGUAACAACGGAACAGGAUAAUUGUAUGGGUAAUCCGCAGCCAAGUCCCUACAACCAAAAUAUUUWGGUCAUGGGAAAGGUU